CCUACGGGUGGCAGCAGUGAGGAAUAUUGGUCAAUGGACGGAAGUCUGAACCAGCCAUGCCGCGUGCAGGAAGACGGCUCUAUGAGUUGUAAACUGCUUUUGUACAAGGGUAAACCUGAAUACGUGUAUUCAGCUGAACGUACUGUACGAAUAAGGAUAGGCUAACUCCGUGCCAGCAGCCGCGGUAAUACGGAGGAUCCAAGCGUUAUCCGGAUUUAUUGGGUUUAAAGGGUGCGUAGGCGGAUGGAUAAGUUAGAGGUGAAAUGUCCGGGCUUAACUCGGGAACUGCCUCUGAGACUGUUGGUCUGGAGUGUAGGAGAGGUAAGCGGAAUGUAUGGUGUAGCGGUGAAAUGCUUAGAGAUCAGACAGAACACCGAUGGCGAAGGCAGCUUACCAAUCUAUAUCUGACGUUGAGGCACGAAAGCGUGGGGAGCAAACAGGAUUAGAUACCCGAGUAGUC
Molecule: ribosomal RNA, 460 nt
Filed under: uncultured bacterium
Lineage: Bacteria
Description: partial 16S ribosomal RNA
Rfam family: Bacterial small subunit ribosomal RNA
Source: RNAcentral